GCGGGCGGCCGGCGACCCCGGGCCGGGAAGCCGCGCUCACGCCUCCUCCACCCCAGCCCUCCGUCCGGGCUGCCGGUGGGAAGGCGCUGCGGCGCCAAUGACGAGGACCGGCGCGCGCCCGACUCCGGGCGAGGGGGCACGGGGUGCAAGCGGGGGCAGCAAAGGCAAAGUCGGAGCGGGAACCCGCGGUCCCAGGUCUCCUCGGCCGAGAGGAGAGGGUCCGGGGGACAGCAGAGCACGAGUGGAGCAAGGACGGAGCAACGCAGUGCAAGAAAAGACGACUGGAACCAGCGGCCAGCCCAGGGCGCGCGGGGAUCGGGACCAGCGACCAGCUCGGGCCGCCACAGCCGCCGCCGCCGCGGGAGUCCUGCCCCUCCCCUCCCCUGGAGCCUGACUUCACUCCGCCGCCGGCGCGAGCCCGGCGUAAUUCACACUUUGCAGCCGCGGACCUUGCGCCAACCACGGCCGCCGCCAGCGUGACGUCACGACGCCGCGCCGCAGGCCCGGCGCCCCGCGCCGCCGCAGCGCCCAGGGAGACGGGCUAGCGGCGGAUGGCCUUCUGGGACUUCAGCCUGAACAAGCUUUCCCCUGCUGGCAAAAUUGAUGAUUUGGCUCAGUUCUCAAGGCACCCACCCUUCCACUUAUUUGGGAUGACUGGCCACCGGCAAGGUGGCAGGCCUUUGAAAGUACCACACAGCCUCUACCGAUGAUGAGAUCAGGCAGAUGGGAAGAAAAGUUGGAUGCAUAGUGGGAGGAAGCUUAAACAAAUUGGAGCAUAAGAGGAGAAACUGGAACCUCUGUCUUUGUGCUACUGCAUCUAACCACAAUGACACAUGGCCUGCAGAAGAAGCUGGCGCCUUUAGCCAAGGAACUGUGCCUGUGCCUAGCCCAGGAUACAGAGAAGCUGGAGAAACUAGGCCCUGCCACUGCCCCUUGGCAAUUAGAUCUCUAUUAUGGCCAACCAAAACCAUUACAAUAAAGAGAAGAGAAUUCUGGAAAAUAUAGUCCAGCUUAGCUAAGUUUAUAAUACAAAACCAUUUCAGACCUAUUCUUUUCACCUUGACAUUCAUGGAUAAUUCUUUUAAUCAUAUUUAAUUUUCAAAUAAAGACCAUAGCAGAAUCA
This is a long non-coding RNA of Lemur catta (Ring-tailed lemur), 1123 nucleotides long. RefSeq lists it as uncharacterized. Lineage: Eukaryota; Metazoa; Chordata; Mammalia; Primates; Lemuridae. The transcript has 4 exons. The record is from RefSeq and is a predicted model, not a curated record.